UGCAUGGCAAAUGAUGCUAAAAGCAAGGCUUGUUUCUCAUAACAUUCGCAGUUGCCGCCUAAGAGCUUUCGCCUUGCCAGGUUUGAGAGCUAAUGCUGCUAAUUCCUUCCUUGGAUGUCUGAUGCAAUGCA
Molecule: non-coding RNA, 131 nt
Organism: Oryza sativa (Asian cultivated rice)
Lineage: Eukaryota; Viridiplantae; Streptophyta; Magnoliopsida; Poales; Poaceae
Source: Rfam